GUGGCAGACGGGUGAGUAACGCGUGGGAGCGUACCUUUCACUACGGAAUAGCUCUGGGAAACUGGUGGUAAUACCGUAUACGCCCUCCGGGGGAAAGAUUUAUCGGUGAAAGAUCGGCCCGCGUUGGAUUAGCUAGUUGGUGAGGUAAUGGCUCACAAAGGCGACGAUCCAUAGCUGGUCUGAGAGGAUGAUCAGCCACACUGGGACUGAGACACGGCCCAGACUCCUACGGGAGGCAGCAGUGGGGAAUCUUGCACAAUGGGCGAAAGCCUGAUGCAGCCAUGCCGCGUGAAUGAUGAAGGCCUUAGGGUUGUAAAAUUCUUUCGUCAGGGAUGAUAAUGACCGUACCUGAAGAAGAAGCCCCGGCUAACUUCGUGCCAGCAGCCGCGGUAAUACGAAGGGGGCUAGCGUUGUUCGGAAUUACUGGGCGUAAAGCGCACGUAGGCGGACUUUUAAGUCAGGUGUGAAAUCCCGGGGCUCAACCUCGGAACUGCAUUUGAAACUGGAAGUCUGGAGAUCAGGAGAGGUUAGCGGAAUACCGAGUGUAGAGGUGAAAUUCGUAGAUAUUCGGUGGAACACCAGUGGCGAAGGCGGCUAACUGGACUGAUACUGACGCUGAGGUGCGAAAGUGUGGGGAGCAAACAGGAUUAGAUACCCUGGUAGUCCAC
RNAcentral lists this ribosomal RNA (668 nucleotides) under uncultured Hyphomonadaceae bacterium. RNAcentral's name for it is "bacterial SSU rRNA". It matches the Rfam family "Bacterial small subunit ribosomal RNA", at positions 95 to 798 of the family's 1533-position model. The record is from RNAcentral. Lineage: Bacteria; Pseudomonadati; Pseudomonadota; Alphaproteobacteria; Hyphomonadales; Hyphomonadaceae.